Molecule: ribosomal RNA, 112 nt
Filed under: Agaricales sp.
Lineage: Eukaryota; Fungi; Basidiomycota; Agaricomycetes; Agaricales
Description: partial small subunit ribosomal RNA
Rfam family: Eukaryotic small subunit ribosomal RNA
Source: RNAcentral
UAAAUAGCCAGGCCGUCUUUGGAUGGUCGCCGGCUUCUUAGAGGGACUGUCAGCGUCUAGCUGACGGAAGUUUGAGGCAAUAACAGGUCUGUGAUGCCCUUAGAUGUUCUGG